This 240-nucleotide ribosomal RNA is filed under the name uncultured bacterium. Its description in RNAcentral is "partial 16S ribosomal RNA". It matches the Rfam family "Bacterial small subunit ribosomal RNA", at positions 94 to 334 of the family's 1533-position model. The record is from RNAcentral.
AGUGGCGGACGGGUGAGUAACGCGUGGGUAACCUGCCUCAUACAGGGGGAUAACAGUUAGAAAUGACUGCUAAUACCGCAUAAGACCACAGCACCGCAUGGUGCAGGGGUAAAAACUCCGGUGGUAUGAGAUGGACCCGCGUCUGAUUAGGUAGUUGGUGGGGUAACGGCCUACCAAGCCGACGAUCAGUAGCCGACCUGAGAGGGUGGCCGGCCACAUUGGGACUGAGACACGGCCCAA